Molecule: ribosomal RNA, 253 nt
Filed under: uncultured bacterium
Lineage: Bacteria
Description: partial 16S ribosomal RNA
Rfam family: Bacterial small subunit ribosomal RNA
Source: RNAcentral
UACGAAGGGGGCUAGCGUUGCUCGGAAUCACUGGGCGUAAAGCGCACGUAGGCGGAUCUUUAAAUCAGAGGUGAAAUCCCAAGGCUCAACCUUGGAACUGCCUUUGAUACUGGGGAUCUCGAGUCCGGAAGAGGUGAGUGGAACUGCGAGUGUAGAGGUGAAAUUCGUAGAUAUUCGCAAGAACACCAGUGGCGAAGGCGGCUCACUGGUCCGGUACUGACGCUGAGGUGCGAAAGCGUGGGGAGCAAACAGG